This is a long non-coding RNA of Colossoma macropomum (tambaqui), 292 nucleotides long. RefSeq lists it as uncharacterized. NCBI's taxonomy places the organism in Eukaryota, Metazoa, Chordata, Actinopteri, Characiformes, Serrasalmidae. The record is from RefSeq and is a predicted model, not a curated record. The transcript has 3 exons.
GUGAUGGACUGAUAAAACUCAGUCAUUUCUGGGGUGAGCUGAAGUGAUGAUGAUCCACUGGGAAAGGUUGGCAUGAUGGAUCUCCACUGAACAUUUUGGGGCAGAACCUCAGCUCUACACUUCUACACAAAGCAGUUUCACAGACAGCAAGCAUGUUUGGGCCGGAUUACCUUAGCCGUCACAAAAUCCUCCUGGCAGCCGCAUCUGCACUGUGGACCUGUGACACAUGUGGGCCAAGUAACUGUUGAUGGCACUAGACACUGACUAGACUCGUUUAAAAUUUGCCCCUCCC